Molecule: non-coding RNA, 117 nt
Filed under: Chlorocebus sabaeus (green monkey)
Lineage: Eukaryota; Metazoa; Chordata; Mammalia; Primates; Cercopithecidae
Source: Rfam by way of RNAcentral
GCUGGGCGCGGUGGCUCACGCCUGUAAUCCCAGCACUUUGGGAGGCAGAGGUGGGCGGAUCACCUGAGGUCAGGAGUUCGAUACCAGCCUGACCAACAUGGAGAAAGCCUAUCUCUA